AUGGGCAUUGGCUGGCGGCCCGUGCCCAGGCUCCCGCCUCUUGGGCCCUUGGGAGGUGCCGGGCGAGAAAUGGUGGCACUCGCGCCAGCCCAUUGGCUGACCUCCGGUGUUGCUUGUAGGCCGGGGCCAGUCCGGGAGGAUUCUAGAAUCCCGCCUGCCGGCCCAUCUUCUUCCUCAGCUGCCCCCUCCCUGUGCCCCCCCUCCACUGCACCCUCCCUCCGGCUCCCGAGGAAAGCACAAGCCAGAAGCGGAGGCAACCCGCGACCGAGGGCGCUUCCAAGCCCAGCACAACCGGUCCUGGGUUCUGGCCCCCAGGGUUUGUCCAGGCCAGCUGGCCUGCUGGGGGACGUCCUCCUUGUCCACACUGGUCACGGCACGCACUGGAGAGGAUGCGGGCGGGGGUGGCACCAGGCAGGCCCCCCGGAAACUCACAAAAAGGCACGAGGGGUGUUGAGGGGUGCUCGAGGCGCCUUCAUUAGGGCGUCUCGGGAACCCGAGCGGAGACCGACGGGCCCCCCCUCGUGUCUUCCAAAAGCUGCCCCGAGAGCUUCUGCUGGGACCCGAACUCAUCCCCGAGAGCCCGGAUCAGCGGCCAGGAUCAGGAAGGGGGUUCCCCCUCGGACAGAGAAUGGGGCCGUGGCCAGGGGCUCCCCCCAGAGGGUUCUCCGGGAGGCCGCAAGCCCCGGCUGCGCGGCCACCAUUCGCUUCUCCCAGGCCAAGCCCCCGAGCUCCAACCCGGCUUCCCUCCCCUUCAGGCCAGUCGGGCCGGCGCCCCCAAAGGGUCAGGCAUGCAGGGGGAACGUGGGUGCCCCACGAAGACCCCAGCGAGCUCUGAGCCCCUCCCCCACAGCCCAAACGAGGUCGGGAAGACCCUGGUCCCUGGAGCUUCCUGGUCUGCAAGGCGUCCAGCAGUCCCCGGGGCCGGCCGCGUGUCGGGGGAGAAGGGAAGCCGGAGCCCGAGAGCCCCCCCACCAUCCAGGCCUUUCCAGAGGGGACGGGCACCCCGGAAAGCCUGCCUGCCCCAACGGGUGGGGUGAGGGGCGGCUCGGACCCUCUCCCGCCUCACCUCUGCUCGCUCCUCCCCAGGCCGGGCGGAGGCGCAGCCCGACAGACACAAGCAGACCGAGGCAGCCUCAUCUGUUCCACACCUUUAAUUUAAUCGUCAUUCGCACAUGGGGAGACCCCGGCCCGAGGCAGACGGUCACAUGA
This 1209-nucleotide long non-coding RNA is filed under the name Monodelphis domestica (gray short-tailed opossum). RNAcentral's name for it is "lncRNA (ENSMODG00000040584.1)". Lineage: Eukaryota; Metazoa; Chordata; Mammalia; Didelphimorphia; Didelphidae. The record is from RNAcentral.